CUUUUACUGCGAAAAGGGCUUGGAGAGUUGAGCAAGUCCAUGUACUAGGGAUGGUGUAAGGCCCCCCCUUUUAUAUACUUGCCUAUAUAUUCAAUAUUAGAAUAUCGAUUUAUAUAGAUUUAUUUCUAUUUUACUAGUUUAUUCGAAUGUUUUCAUUAUAGAAUUCGUCUGAUAAGCCCGUUCUCUAAGGUGGAAACACUGUCUAAAACAGCAUACACCAAAACUCAAUGAACUAAAAGAUUUUAUUAAUUGAAGGAAAAGAAACCAACCGGGAUUGCGCUAGUAGUACAGAGCGAAAGCGCAAAAGCUUAAAUAAUUUUUGUUUACGGUCGAACUUAAGUGGAAUCCGGACCAGAGAAAGUUAUAGUCUUGUAGAUUGUAAACAAAAAAAAAAGUGCCGCAAUUAAAAUAUACUUUAUUUGCGCACAUAUUAGUACUUAUUGCGACAUUUAUAUUAUAUAAUACGCGUUAUAUAUAUAAAGUUGCGCAAUAAAUGGGCAAGUUAGUGGUUUUAAACUGCUAAAUUAUUGACGGAUACCACUCUGUUGGCUAAAUACUCUAUGUAGAUCGAUAGUGAAUCAGUACUGUAAAGGAAUUAGGAAACAAGAAUGCCAUUGCUUCUCUGAAUACAAGUCCCGAAACAGGUUGCUUAUAAUGACUUUCAGUUUGGCAGUUAUAAUGUUGAAUAGAAAGGUUCCUUUUGAAUCAUGAGCUGAUGACUUUGUGUUGGUUUAAGGCGUAUUAUUAAUCGUGUAUUAAUAUAAGUGGCUUAAUUUAUUAAAAGUAAGCUUAUUAUGAAAAUAAUCAUAAAAAACUAACACAAGACGCGAAACGAAGUGAGCUUAAGUAGACCAGGGGGAAGGUUGCCGGAAGGUAGUUGGACGCCCGAAGUGGUAUGCGUUGCAACGCAUUCAUAUGAGUUUAUUUAAGUGGCGAAAUACCAAUCGAACUUCGAAAUAUCUCGUUUUUUGCGAAACCUUUUUAGGAAGGGGGCCUGCAAAAUAAAUGCUAACUAGGUAGAGCGCUGUAAAACUGAUGGGAGGGAAACUUUUACUGAGGUGUUGCAAACCACAAAUUAGGAGCAUUUUGCCAGGUACUCAGUCAGUGCGGGACAAGCUGCAUUUGACAAGAAGGAAACAGCCUAGACUAUUAAUUAAGGCCCGCAAAUAGCGCUAAGUGAGAAAGUAAUUAACUUCACAAAAAUUAGUAGGACGUUUGAUUAGCAGCAUCUACCGUUUAAAGAAAGCGUAAUAGCUCACUACUAUAGUUUAGUUGUUGCGAAAAUUUAGCCGGACUAAGCGCUAUGCCGAAAUUAUAGCUAACUGGAAACAAUACAAUCAGUUAGAGUAGCAAAACGAACCAUGUUGACAAAAUUAUGUCGGUAAGACUUAAUGAAAAUAUUGGUUGUGAAUAUAUCAGCUAGAGUAACAUAUAAAUUGAGAUUAUUACUUAAGGCAGCUUUGUAUUAAUGAGUACGAGUGUUAUAAAAGCAUUUUUUUAAUAAUAAAUUAUACUAUUUAUUACUUGAAUUAAUGCAAAGUUGUAUUAAUUCAGAACAGUAUCUCAAUGAUCGGAAAUCCUGGGUUUUCUACACAACUAUUAAAGAUGUAGUUAAAAAUACGGUCCCUAAGUAUCAUAAAGGCUACGAUGGGUACUUGCUGUGUCCAACAAAACCUUAUUCAUAGGUCUGUUGCAGGAAACAGUAGCAAGGAAUUACGUUACGCGUAGCAUAAUAUUUGUCUUAUCUUAUUUUACGCGUAUUAUAAGCACCGUACUAAAACUGACUCUGGUGGAUUGGUAGAUUUUACUAAGAUUUGGUUAUAAUCGCUCGUAAGGAACUCGGCAAAUUGCGCUGGUACUUUCGAAAACAGCGGUCUAAAAGUGGUGUUUUAGAUCUCAGAUAAGAGAACUGGGUGACAGUUUACUAAAAACUUAGCGUCCUGCCAAUUUGAAACAAGACGUAUAGGAUGUGACGUUUGCUAACGGCCACUAAUUUAAGUAAUCUGUUGUAAAAGAUAGAUCAACAAGAUGUGGUGACGAGCGGCCGUAACUAUAACGGUCAUAAAGUAGCGAAAUUCCUAGGCAUUUAAUUGGUGUCCUGCAUGAAUAACGUAACAACCUGGUUGCUGUCUCGCGAGCGAAAACCGUGAAAUAAGAAUAUCGGUUAAAAUACCGAUUAGGCUGUCUUAGACGAUAAGACCCUGUGAAGCUUUACUGUAACCUAACAUUGCGAUCGGUUUUUUAUCUUACAGUUAGGCGGGAGGUAACGACAAUGGAAAACCGCUAGAUAAUAAAUUGGUCGCUUUUAUACAAGAUUACUUUUUAAUCUAUAAGAUAUUUAUAUAAGCAGCUUCAUAGAACAUCGAUUAUGCAAAUAAAAGACAGUAUAUGUAAGUAAGGCUUAUAUAAAACACUUUAAUUAACAAAGAUCGAAGACAGUGUUAGGUGGGCAGUUUACUUGGGGCGAGGUCUGGCUAAAAGGUAACGCCAGAGAGCAAAAGGUAUGCUCAGUAUUGUCGGAAACAAUAUGUAGAGCGUAAUAGUAUAAGCAUGCCUGAUUAUAAGACUGACAAGUCGAAUAAAGACGAAAGUCUGCUAUAGUGACCCUCACACGCUAUGUGGAAAGGUGUGAGAUCAACGAAUCAAAGUUACUCCAGGGAUAACAGGGUAGUCCUGGCUUAUAGUUCUUAUAGACGCCAGGGUUCGCCACCUCGAUGUUGCCUCAGGUCAUCCUGGAGCUGAACAAGGUUCCAAGGGCGCAACUGUUCUUUGCAUAAUGACCUACGUGAGGUGAGUUUAAACCGCCGUAAGGCAGGUUUGGUUCUAUCUAGACAGCCAUAUUUAUUUAACCAAGCACUAGAAUUCCACUGUACGAAAGGACCCGGAAUUCCGCGCCAAUGGUUUAGCAAUUGUUUUGAAAAAAGCAUGGUUGCAACGCUAAGCGUGAAAUGUUAAUUGCUGAAAAACUAUCAAGCAAGAAACAAUUGUAAAGGUUAUAAGAGAUCGCAUUUGCGUAAAUAGGCGCGGGGUGUAAGCUUUGUAAUAAGCUCAGCUACCGCGUACUAAUUUUUU
Molecule: ribosomal RNA, 3072 nt
Filed under: Ulva pertusa
Lineage: Eukaryota; Viridiplantae; Chlorophyta; Ulvophyceae; Ulvales; Ulvaceae
Description: bacterial LSU rRNA
Rfam family: Bacterial large subunit ribosomal RNA
Source: RNAcentral